UCGAGAAUCUUCGGCAAUGGGCGCAAGCCUGACCGAGCGACGCCGCGUGCGGGAUGAAGGCCUUCGGGUUGUAAACCGCUGUCAGAGGGGAACAAAUCCGUAGGGGUUCUCCCUUACGGUUGAGUGAUCCUCAGAGGAAGUCCGGGCUAAGUUCGUGCCAGCAGCCGCGGUAAGACGAACCGGACGAACGUUAUUCGGAAUUACUGGGCUUAAAGAGUGCGUAGGCGGCCUGGCAGGUUGGGUGUGAAAUCCCUCGGCUCAACCGAGGAACUGCGCUCAAAACCGCCAGACUGGAGGCAGAUAGGGGUGAGCGGAACUCACGGUGGAGCGGUGAAAUGCGUUGAUAUCGUGAGGAACACCGGUGGCGAAAGCGGCUCACUGGGUCUGUCCUAACGCUGAGGCACGAAAGCUAGGGGAGCGAACGGGAUUAGAUACCCCCGUAGUCC
RNAcentral lists this ribosomal RNA (446 nucleotides) under uncultured prokaryote. RNAcentral describes it as "bacterial SSU rRNA". It matches the Rfam family "Bacterial small subunit ribosomal RNA", at positions 355 to 796 of the family's 1533-position model. The record is from RNAcentral.